UUGAGCUGGAUGGCGACGCCACGGCCGUGCGCCUCGGUGAUCCCGAAGCGGAUCGAGCGGAACAUCGACGCGAGAUACGUGGUGUACAUCGUGUUGUUGAAGGCCUUGUCGAGCUUCUCGU
RNAcentral lists this unclassified non-coding RNA (121 nucleotides) under fungal sp. Its description in RNAcentral is "partial internal transcribed spacer region". The record is from RNAcentral. Lineage: Eukaryota; Fungi.